CACAAUGGGCGAAAGCCUGAUGCAGCAACGCCGCGUGAGGGACGACGGCCUUCGGGUUGUAAACCUCUUUUAGCAAGGAAGAAGCGAAAGUGACGGUACUUGCAGAAAAAGCGCCGGCUAACUACGUGCCAGCAGCCGCGGUAAUACGUAGGGCGCAAGCGUAAUCCGGAAUUAUUGGGCGUAAAGAGCUCGUAGGCGGUUUGUCGCGUCUGCUGUGAAAUCCCGAGGCUCAACCUCGGGUCUGCAGUGGGUACGGGCAGACUAGAGUGCGGUAGGGGAGAUUGGAAUUCCUGGUGUAGCGGUGGAAUGCGCAGAUAUCAGGAGGAACACCGAUGGCGAAGGCAGAUCUCUGGGCCGUAACUGACGCUGAGGAGCGAAAGGGCGGGGAGCAAACAGGCUUAGAUACCCUGGUAGUCCACCCCGUAAACGUUGGGAACUAGUUGUGGGGUCCAUUCCACGGAUUCCGUGACGCAGCUAACGCAUUAAGUUCCCCGCCUGGGGAGUACGGCCGCAAGGCUA
This 519-nucleotide ribosomal RNA is filed under the name uncultured Actinomycetes bacterium. RNAcentral's name for it is "bacterial SSU rRNA". It matches the Rfam family "Bacterial small subunit ribosomal RNA", at positions 367 to 896 of the family's 1533-position model. The record is from RNAcentral. Lineage: Bacteria; Bacillati; Actinomycetota; Actinomycetes.